Long non-coding RNA from Magallana angulata, 1557 nucleotides. RefSeq lists it as uncharacterized. NCBI's taxonomy places the organism in Eukaryota, Metazoa, Mollusca, Bivalvia, Ostreida, Ostreidae. The transcript has 2 exons. The record is from RefSeq and is a predicted model, not a curated record.
UCUAAUCCGUGUGUGUGUGUGGGGGGGGGGGGGGGGGUGCGGUAGUAUCUUUAAUCAUCAUUUUCACAUUUGAUUUCCUGACUUACUCCCAUUUAAUACACGAUCUCAAAAAAGUGGAAGGGGGAAAGGGUUCCAACUCUAUUAUAAUUCAGUUUUUCAUAUGAAAAUUUAGAAAAAAAUAUCUGCUGCGACAAAAAAGUGAUGCUCUGAUACUACGUGCCUGGUCAUCAACAUUUUUUCCUCUCCCUGUGUCUGUGUAGGGCUCUGUCGUCAAUAUAAGUAAUUGUUUAUCAUACAUAAUGACUAACAGGAAAGCACUUACAUGUGUACGUGUAAAGGAGAAAAAGUGUCAUAAUUAUACGUCCUCCAGCAUACACGGUGGUCAAUUUAUAAAAUAUAUACAUGUGAUUUUCCUGUAUCUAAACUGUUCAAAAUGCAAUUUUUAAACCUUGUUCGAUUUUCAAGUAUUUAAUAAAAUAGAAAUUUGAUAUCUACGGUAGAGAAUGGGACAAGAAAGCACCACAGGAUGACUGUUAUACAGUCUAAAAAAAAUCCCCUUCAAGGACCCCAAAAAGUGCGUCGUUCUAUUUGUUCACCUUUGUGUACAUGAUUGCCGAGAAAGAACGUUAUACAUUUUCAACCUUAAUAUUACCACAUAUAAUGACUGUGGAGAAGGUUUGAAUCACACUGAUAAUAUUGCAAACAUAAGAUUAAAUAAUUGGACAGACAACCAUGGGCGGUGAAGAGAAGAAAAAACAACCAACACACUUGCUAAAAGCUAAUAUGCCAUGGAUUCGGUCACAGAUAUUUGCAGCCAACAUAACUUCUUUGUUAUUGUUCCUUGUCUUUUUCUGGAUCCUGCCAAUUAACACCGCCGGACUUAAGGCCCCAGCAGACAGACUUGUAUUCACUUUUCGAUGGCUGUUUGUCUCAUCUCUGAGCAUUCUCUUCGCCCUCUUCGGAGUGCUGAAAGUCCGAGGAACCUCGAAUGCCGUUGACCCAAUCAAUGGAGGAUCCGAAAACCUGACGGAGGUUCCGAACAGAAUUUUACGCAAUACCGUGGAACAGUACUUCUUACAUAUGACAGGCCUCUUAAUGUUAGCCACGAUUCUGGAACCAAGCUCUCUAAAGGCCAUCCCUAUCCUUGUAGGAUUGUUCCUCCUGGGCCGAUUUACAUUCUGGUUUGGAUACACUCGAUCUCCUUUUAACCGAAGCUUUGGUUUUAUGACUACACUAGUUCCAACUUUAGUUAUGUACGGUUAUUGCAUGUACCGGCUUAUAACGGAUAAAUUACUGAUUCCUUAAUGAGGAAUGUAGAGAUAUUAACAAUAUUUAUUGCAAGUCAACCAUGAAUUAUAAUUACAGAGAAAAAAGAGUUCCAUGCAACAUAGCAGCUUUGUGCACGUGUACACGAAUGUAUAAAAAUGAAAGAAAUUUGUGAGUUUGAUGAAAGUCUUGAUGGUCAUUACAAGAGUUAUAAGUUGAAUGAUGUGAAUUUAUUACAGUUACAGAUUUUAAAUGUCUCGUGCUUUGAACAAAUAAAGAAUGUUAUCUAAA